CAGUAGCCGCGGGAAUACGUAGGGUGCAAGCGUUAUCCGGAAUUAUUGGGCGUAAAGAGCUCGUAGGCGGUUUGUCGCGUCUGCUGUGAAAACCGGAGGCUCAACCUCCAGCCUGCAGUGGGUACGGGCAGACUAGAGUGCGGUAGGGGAGAUUGGAAUUCCUGGUGUAGCGGUGGAAUGCGCAGAUAUCAGGAGGAACACCGAUGGCGAAGGCAGAUCUCUGGGCCGUAACUGACGCUGAGGAGCGAAAGCGUGGGGAGCGAACAGGAUUAGAUACCCGCGUAGUCCCUGUCUCUUAUAC
Molecule: ribosomal RNA, 301 nt
Filed under: uncultured bacterium
Lineage: Bacteria
Description: partial 16S ribosomal RNA
Rfam family: Bacterial small subunit ribosomal RNA
Source: RNAcentral